GAUGAACGCUGGCGGCGUGCCUAAUACAUGCAAGUCGAACGAACAGACGAUGAGCUUGCUCCUCUGACGUUAGCGGGUGAGUUGUGAGUAACAGGGUGAUAACCUACCUAUAAGACUGGGAUAACUGCGGGAAACCUGGGCACAUACGGUAUAAUAUCUUAAACCUCAUUAUUCAAUGGUGAAUGAUGGAUUUGCUGUCACUUAUAAAUGCAUCCUCGCCGAAUUAGCUAGUUGGUAGUGUAACGGGUUACCAAGGCAACGAUGCGUAGCCGACCUGAGAGGGGGAUCGCCCACCCUGGAACUGAGACACGGCCCAGACUCCUACGGGAGGAGGCAGUAGGGAAUCUUCGGAAAUGAGCGAAAUCCUGACGGAGCACCGCCGCGUGAUUGAUGAAGUUCUUCGGUUCGUAAAACUUUGUUAUUAGGGAAGAACAAAUGUGUAAGUAAAUAUGCACGUCGUGACGGUACCUAAUCAGAAAGCCACGGCUAACUACGUG
This 497-nucleotide ribosomal RNA is filed under the name uncultured bacterium. RNAcentral's name for it is "partial 16S ribosomal RNA". It matches the Rfam family "Bacterial small subunit ribosomal RNA", at positions 28 to 507 of the family's 1533-position model. The record is from RNAcentral.